RNAcentral lists this non-coding RNA (87 nucleotides) under Pseudomonas putida. Lineage: Bacteria; Pseudomonadati; Pseudomonadota; Gammaproteobacteria; Pseudomonadales; Pseudomonadaceae. RNAcentral also lists the same sequence under 3 other names. The record is from RNAcentral.
CUUUAUGGCGACUGUGCGCGGGGCAUCUUCGGGUGCGCCGGUGUCCGUGAGAGCCGGUCCGUCAACCCACGCACAGUUGCCACCCAA